Molecule: ribosomal RNA, 505 nt
Filed under: uncultured bacterium
Lineage: Bacteria
Description: partial 16S ribosomal RNA
Rfam family: Bacterial small subunit ribosomal RNA
Source: RNAcentral
GACGAACGCUGGCGGCGUGCCUAAUACAUGCAAGUAGAACGAACAGUUUAUACCGUAGCUUGCUACACCAUAGACUGUGAGUUGCGAACGGGUGAGUAACGCGUAGGUAACCUGCCUGGUAGAGGGGGAUAACUACUGGAAACGAUAGCUAUUAUCGCAUAAUAUUAAUUAUUGCAUGAUAAUUAAUUGAAUUGCGCAAUUGUACCACUACAAGAUGGCCCUGUGUUGUAUUAGCUAGUAGGUGAGGUAACGGCUCACCUAGGCGACGAUACAUAGCCGACCUGGGAAGGGGGUCGGCCACACUGGGACUGAGACACGGCCCAAACUCCUAUGGGGAGCAGCAGGAGGGGAACUUCGGCAAAGGACGGAAGUCUGGCCGGACAACGCCGGGAUGGGUGAGGAGGUUUUCGGAUCGGAAAGCUCUGUUGUAAGGGAAGAACGGAUGUGGGAGUGGAAAGUUCACACUGUGACGGUAUCUUACCAGAAAGGGACGGCUAACUACGUG